Molecule: small nucleolar RNA, 144 nt
Filed under: Microcebus murinus (gray mouse lemur)
Lineage: Eukaryota; Metazoa; Chordata; Mammalia; Primates; Cheirogaleidae
Source: RNAcentral
CAUUAUCCAGGAUAGACCAUGUGUUAGGCCACAAAACAAGUCUUAACAAAUUUAAGACAGGAGGGAAAGCAAGCCUAGCAGAGGAACCCAUUCCAUUCCCAGCUUGUUUGGUAGCUGGUGAUUGGAAGACACUCUGCAACAAGU